Thalassophryne amazonica is the source of this 133-nucleotide long non-coding RNA. RefSeq lists it as uncharacterized. The transcript has 3 exons. NCBI's taxonomy places the organism in Eukaryota, Metazoa, Chordata, Actinopteri, Batrachoidiformes, Batrachoididae. The record is from RefSeq and is a predicted model, not a curated record.
AGGUGCUGUUCUCCUGGGGCUGUAUCCACAAAGUAACUCAAAGCCCUCUCAAAAAGCUCCUAACUUGGCCAAAAAGUUCCUGGCAAGGAAUGCUAGCCUAACAGUGAGCCAGGAGUUGUCUGAGAGCAAGUCU